GUAAGAGAACCAGCACAAAAUUCUGUUUGUUUCUUCUGACUGAACAAACUUUAUUCCAGUUUCAUCAUUGAGAAAUCAACGUAGCAGUCUUGGACAAUUCUAUUGGAAAACAGAAUUUCCUUUACAGUGGAGAUCUAUGUAACCGGAUAUUAUCUGUCCUGUUGAUCAGUGGCUGUUCCCAAGCUGUGGAAUCACCUUCCUUGGG
Molecule: non-coding RNA, 205 nt
Organism: Anolis sagrei ordinatus
Lineage: Eukaryota; Metazoa; Chordata; Lepidosauria; Squamata; Anolidae
Source: RefSeq, a predicted model, not a curated record